GACGAACGCUGGCGGCGUGCUUAACACAUGCAAGUCGAACGGAAAGGCCCUGCUUUUGUGCGGUGCUCGAGUGGCGAACGGGUGAGUAACACGUGAGUAACCUGCCCUUGACUUUGGGAUAACUUCAGGAAACUGGGGCUAAUAUCGGAUAGGAGCUCCUGCUGCAUGGUGGGGGAUGGAAAGUUUCGGCGGUUGGGGAUGGACUCGCGGCUUAUCAGCUUGUUGGUUGGGUAGUGGCUUACGAAGGCUUUGACGGGUAGCCGGCCUUAGAGGGUGACCGGGGUCAUUGCGCCUGCGGGAGGCCGCAGACUGGAACGGGACGCAGUAGUGGAGAAUAUGGCAGAAUGGGGGGGAGCGUGAGAUAGCAACGCCGCGUGCGGGAUGACGGCUUUCGAGGGGUAAACAGCUUUCGAAUGUGAUGAAGAGUGAUUGACGGUAAUGGGUAAAGAAGCCCCGGCUAACUACGUG
This 468-nucleotide ribosomal RNA is filed under the name uncultured bacterium. Its description in RNAcentral is "partial 16S ribosomal RNA". It matches the Rfam family "Bacterial small subunit ribosomal RNA", at positions 28 to 507 of the family's 1533-position model. The record is from RNAcentral.